CUGCGGCAGCGACGCUGAUGCGUUGUUGGGUAGGGGAGCGUUCUGUAAGCCUGCGAAGGUGGCCUGUGAGGGUUGCUGGAGGUAUCAGAAGUGCGAAUGCUGACAUAAGUAACGAUAAAGCGGGUGAAAAGCCCGCUCGCCGGAAGACCAAGGGUUCCUGUCCAACGUUAAUCGGGGCAGGGUGAGUCGACCCCUAAGGCGAGGCCGAAAGGCGUAGUCGAUGGGAAACGGGUUAAUAUUCCCGUACUUGGUGUUACUGCGAAGGGGGGACGGAGAAGGCUAUGUUGGCCGGGCGACGGUUGUCCCGGUUUAAGCGUGUAGGUGUGUGUUCCAGGUAAAUCCGGUUCACUUUAACACUGAGGCGUGAUGACGAGGCACUACGGUGCUGAAGCAACAAAUGCCCUGCUUCCAGGAAAAGCCUCUAAGCAUCAGGUAACAUCAAAUCGUACCCCAAACCGACACAGGUGGUCAGGUAGAGAAUACCAAGGCGCUUGAGAGAACUCGGGUGAAGGAACUAGGCAAAAUGGUGCCGUAACUUCGGGAGAAGGCACGCUGACACGUAGGUGAAGUGAUUUACUCAUGGAGCUGAAGUCAGUCGAAGAUACCAGCUGGCUGCAACUGUUUAUUAAAAACACAGCACUGUGCAAACACGAAAGUGGACGUAUACGGUGUGACGCCUGCCCGGUGCCGGAAGGUUAAUUGAUGGGGUCAGCGCAAGCGAAGCUCCUGAUCGAAGCCCCGGUAAACGGCGGCCGUAACUAUAACGGUCCUAAGGUAGCGAAAUUCCUUGUCGGGUAAGUUCCGACCUGCACGAAUGGCGUAAUGAUGGCCAGGCUGUCUCCACCCGAGACUCAGUGAAAUUGAACUCGCUGUGAAGAUGCAGUGUACCCGCGGCAAGACGGAAAGACCCCGUGAACCUUUACUAUAGCUUGACACUGAACAUUGAGCCUUGAUGUGUAGGAUAGGUGGGAGGCUUUGAAGUGUGGACGCCAGUCUGCAUGGAGCCGGCCUUGAAAUACCACCCUUUAAUGUUUGAUGUUCUAACGUGGACCCGUGAUCCGGGUUGCGGACAGUGUCUGGUGGGUAGUUUGACUGGGGCGGUCUCCUCCUAAAGAGUAACGGAGGAGCACGAAGGUUGGCUAAUCCUGGUCGGACAUCAGGAGGUUAGUGCAAUGGCAUAAGCCAGCUUGACUGCGAGCGUGACGGCGCGAGCAGGUGCGAAAGCAGGUCAUAGUGAUCCGGUGGUUCUGAAUGGAAGGGCCAUCGCUCAACGGAUAAAAGGUACUCCGGGGAUAACAGGCUGAUACCGCCCAAGAGUUCAUAUCGACGGCGGUGUUUGGCACCUCGAUGUCGGCUCAUCACAUCCUGGGGCUGAAGUAGGUCCCAAGGGUAUGGCUGUUCGCCAUUUAAAGUGGUACGCGAGCUGGGUUUAGAACGUCGUGAGACAGUUCGGUCCCUAUCUGCCGUGGGCGCUGGAGAACUGAGGGGGGCUGCUCCUAGUACGAGAGGACCGGAGUGGACGCAUCACUGGUGUUCGGGUUGUCAUGCCAAUGGCACUGCCCGGUAGCUAAAUGCGGAAGAGAUAAGUGCUGAAAGCAUCUAAGCACGAAACUUGCCCCGAGAUGAGUUCUCCCUGAGACUUAGAGUCUCCUGAAGGAACGUUGAAGACGACGACGUUGAUAGGCCGGGUGUGUAAGCGCAGCGAUGCGUUGAGCUAACCGGUACUAAUGAACCGUGAGGCUUAACCUUACA
RNAcentral lists this ribosomal RNA (1752 nucleotides) under Salmonella enterica. RNAcentral describes it as "partial 23S ribosomal RNA". It matches the Rfam family "Bacterial large subunit ribosomal RNA", at positions 1200 to 2925 of the family's 2925-position model. Lineage: Bacteria; Pseudomonadati; Pseudomonadota; Gammaproteobacteria; Enterobacterales; Enterobacteriaceae. The record is from RNAcentral. RNAcentral also lists the same sequence under 2 other names.